UGAGAGUUAUGUGUCUUUAAUUUGAUCUCACUAGUUAGUUUACGGCAGAAGUGGCGCCCAAGAGGGGACAUAUUAGAUUAGCUAGGUUGGGUGUGAGCGCGCUAUAGAAAUAAGGAAUUGGUGACAUUUUGGGAUCACAAAAGUACCAGGAGGUACUGAAGCGACGAGACGUAAAAUUAUUAAUAAUGGGAAAUUCAACUUCUACUGGUAAGGACAUGUACUUGGCUAUUUUAGAAAUGAUAAUUAAUCAGAAAGAAAAGCAAAUAAAAAAGACUCAGUUGUUACAAUUCUUAAAGGUUGUAGGUGAAUUUUGCCCUUGGUUUUGUGACCAAGAUUCGCCAAAUUUACAUACUUGGGACAAAUUAGGAAGGAAAUUACAUAAAAUCUGCCUUUCUAAUGAAUUACCUGGAAAUUUUGAUAACAUUCAAAGACUAUGGACUGCUUUAGAAAUUUGUCUUUUUGAUUACAUGGGCCAUAGUCCAUGGCCCACUGAAUGUCUAUUGAAGGGUAUUCAGAGAGCCAUUAAGUCUAUUCAAAUGGAAAACCUGUCUGAGGCUAAGGUAAUCUCCUUUCCCUUAAGCCCGAUAAAGACAAAAGCUCCCGGGGCUAAACCGAAAGUGAGAAAUGUAAGCGUGCCUGAAGUGAGUCAGGGUAACUUGGAGGAAGAUCCUAGAGACGAAGAUCAUAGACAGCAAGCCUCCGGAGGGAUAGAUAGUUCUCUUCCUGGAGGCAUAGAAAGUCCUCCCGGAGGGAUAGAAAGUAAUCCUCCCGGAGAGGAAAAUCCAGAAGAAAUUCCUAGAGAGGUAAAAAGCCCUUCUCCACCACGUGGCUUAGAAGCCCAAUUUCAAAAUGGCGACAGCGAAAAUUCAGCUGAGGAGUCGCAGUCUGAGGGAGAGGAAUCAGACAUUGAAAUCCAGGACUUGCAGGGAAAUUUUAACAGGCUGCGUUUAACACCGCCUGCCCAGGCUAUUAGAAUUCGGCCAUUGUCUGCUAAAAGGUACUCUGAAUUAACAACGACUUUUCUUACCCCGUUCCAGCGAGGUAUUGAGAAGGCACAGGAAGCCGGGGAGGACAUUAGCGAAUUUCAACUUUUCCCAGGUUUUGAGCAGAUUAAUGAACAGGAUCAGCGGGUUCGCGUCCACGCGGUAAUUCCUUUUAAGACUAUCAAGGAAUUAAAGAGCGCUUGUGAGGUUUACCGUCCAAAUUCACCUUUUGCGCAAAAUUUGCUGGAGACUAUCGCUUCACAACCGCUCCCACCGAGUGACUGGGUUUGGUUAGCUAGAGCUUGCCUGAGUGGCGGGGAUUUCUUGCUUUGGAAGUCCUACUGGUCUGAUUUUUGUGCUAAACAAGCAGAAAGGAAUAGGAGACAGAAUCUCCAGACACCAGUGGAAAUGCUUUUAGGAACGGGUGAAUUUAUCGAUUUGAAAAUACAGUUAAAUUAUGAAUUUGCGGUAUAUGAUCAGAUAACUGCUUGUGCCAGAGAGUUUCCAAAGACCAAUCUAAUUUAGUUCUAACUAAGGUUAGACAAGGUGCUAGUGAACCUUAUUCUAAUUUUGUAGGGAGACUGUAUCAGACAGCCAGCCGCUCCAUAAGAGACCCAGGCGCUCGUGAAUUCAUUGUUAAGCAAUUGGCAUUUAAAAAUGCAAAUAAAUACUGUCAGGAUGUUCUCAGACCCCAUAGAAAAAAAGGGACAGUUUCUGAGUUUAUCCGUUUGUGUUCUGAGAUCGAUUCCACUCAUCUACAAAUAGUAACAUUAGCUGCUGCGUUAAAACAAACUUUGCAGCCACAGGAAUUGGCGCGAAAACCCCGCGGGAGGUGCUGUCUCUGCGGGAAAAGUGGCCAUUAUGCGGAGAAUGCCAUGCCCGCAAUGUUAAGUCCAGGGCUCCCUCUGCUGUUGACGGUAAAUAUUACAGGGCUCCACCCCCGCGGUGGAUCAAGGUGGCGCUGGGCAGCCCGCCUUCUUGUCAUUUCCCCCUGGCAGGAAAAAAAAACCUAACCAUCAGCCCUUCCGCGACCCUUCCCCGGUCCCACCAAAGAAAUGGGGAAUUGGAGGAGGGGUCGCACAGUUUGACUGGCACUGGCCAUCGCAGGCUGCCAUUUCUACCGGAACAUAAAUCACAGACAGUUUCCUUACGACCCUCAGUGACAAUAGAAUUAAAUCCUGAAUCAGGGCCAAAACAAAUUCCUACUGGGAUUUUCGGGCCACUCCCUGAAAAAAGUAUAGGUUUAAUUUUGGGACAUAAUAAUUUAAAAGAGGCCUUGGAGGUAAUACCUGGAGUAAUAGAUUCUAAUUUUAAAGGACAAUUAAAUGUUGCUCUAAGGUCCAAUUAUGCCCUACGGCUUACUCCAGAAGAUACAUUUGCCCAAUUAAUUUUAUUACCCUGUGAUUCAGAUGAACACCCUCAAGUAAAUUCAGUUUCCAAACCGCCAGACAGUUUAGUGCGACAGGAGAGCCCUUUACUGGAACUUAAAAUUAAUCAUAAAAAAAUCAAAGGAAUUCUAGAUACUGGGACAGAUAUUUCUAUUUUUUCUAGUAAAUUCUGGCCUAGGAAUUGGCCCUUACAUGUAGCACCAGCUGACCUAGAGGGAAUGGGACAAAUUUCACAGCCUGCUCAAAGUGCAAAUUAUCUCCGUUGGGAGGAUUCGGAUGGGAACAGUGGAGUUUUUAAACCUUAUGUUUUGGAGUCCUUACCAGCAAACCUAUGGGGAAGGGAUAUUUUAGCUAAAAUGGGAUUGUUAUUAGUAACUCCAAAUUCUAUAAGAUCAAUUGAGGAAGUUAAUCAGGGUUUUUUUCCUGGAGAUGAUAAGAAAACCUUUCAGGGAGAGUAUCUGAUUGAAAACCAGUCUCCACCACAGAGAUUAGUAAAUACUCCAAACCAAAAUUUUUACUAGGGGCCCUUAGUGUUUCCCCGAUCCAAAAGACAGCUGAGGAGCCUAUAUGGAUUUCUCAGUGGCCCAUCUCAGGGAAAAAACUUAAAGUAAUUCAUAGGUUAGUUGAGGAACAGCUUCAGGCUGGUCAUAUAGAGCCAACACUUAGUCCUUGGAACACCCCCCAUUUUACCAGAAAAAAUCAGGUAAUUGGAGAUUACUACAGGAUUUAAGGGCAAUAAAUCAUUCAGCCUAUGGGAUCCUUACAGCCAGGACUUCCUUCCCCCACAGCCAUCCCUUUAAACUAUAGCUUGAUGGUAAUAGAUUUAAAAGAUUAUUUUUUCUCUAUAAGGUUACAUCCUGAAGAUUGUGAAAAAUUUGCCUUCACUGUCCCAGCAAUUAAUUUUUUAAAACCUGUUAAAAGAUAUUGCUGGAAGGUACUCCCCCAAGGAAUGCAUAACAGUCUUACUUUAUGCCAGAAAUAUGUAGAUCAGGCGAUAGCUCCUAUAAGAAAUAGCUUUUCUGAAUCAUAUAUUAAGAUAAGAGUUAAGGAGUUACAUACCCUUAAUGAUUUUCAAAAGCUAUUAGGAGAUAUUAAUUGGCUGAGGCCAUUCUUAAAACUAACUACUUCUGAUUUAAGUCCUUUAUUUCAGAUAUUACAAGGGAAUUCUUCCCCAACGUCUCCACGUCAGCUAACAAUAAAGGCUAGAACAGCUUUUAAAAAGGUUGAAAGUGCAAUUAGAAAUGCACAACUUACUAGAGUUGAUCCUAAAGAAAUAGUGUAUUUAUUAAUAUUUCCAACUGAACAUAAUGCCUCAACAGGAGCUAUAUGGCAAAGAUUGGGAGUUAUUGAGUGGAUUUAUUUGGCCCACUCCCCUCAAAAACAUUUGGUUCCUUUUCAUGACUGUAUUGCUCAAUUAGUAAUUAAAGGUAGAAUGAGAGUUUUACAAUUAAUUGGAUCUGAGCCUGAUAUCAUAAUUAUUCCAUUUUCUGUUCAACAAAACAAUUGGCUUUUUCAAACUUCUAGCGUAUGACAGAUGGCUUUUGCUGAUUUUCCUGGCCAGAUAGAUAGUCAUUACCCUUGUGAUAAAAUUAUUCAAUUUGCAUCAUUAACACCGCUUAUUUUUCUAAAGAUUGUACGUGCCCAUAGAUGGAGCCCUAUCUGUGUUCACGGAGGGUUCAAGCUCAGGUAAAGCAGGUUUUUAUAGUUGUGUUCACACAGAGGUAAUGCAAACUUCAUAUACUUCUGCCCAAAGAGCGGAUCUUCAAGCUCUCAUUUGUGCCUUAAAUUACCUUACAAAUGAGCCUAUUAACAUUUAUUCUGACAGCUUAUAUGCAGUUGAAGUUACCAAAAAUAUUGAAACUUCAGUUAUUGGGAUAUACUUCAUCACAAGAGUUAUUUAAAUUAUUUCAUAACUUACAAAAGGCAGUACAAAUGCGAAAAUACCCAUGUUUCAUAGGACACAUAUGGGCUCACACUAAUCUUCCAGGACUUUUAGCUUCAGGUAAUGACAAGAUUGAUAAAUUAGUAGCUGUUUGUCAACAGAUGUCUCCAUAUGAUUGUGCACAAGCUUCCCAUUCCUUACAUCAUCAAAAUGCUUCUAGUUUAUGUAAAAAAUUUAAUAUUACCAGAGAACAAGCUCGUCAAAUUGUAAGUCACUGCCCUAAGUAUGUCAUUCAUUCUCCAUCUUUGCCAUCAGGGGUAAAUCCCCGUGGAUUAAAACCAAAUCAAAAUAUGGCAAAUGGAUGUAACUCAUAUUCCUCAAUUUGGUAAAUAAAACAGGAAUUCCUUAUAACCCCCAAGGUCAAGCCAUUGUGGAAUGAGCUCAUUUAUCUAUUAAGCUUCAAUUACAAAAAUUAAAAGGGCAGAAUAGGUUUAUGACUCCCCAAAAUAGCCUCAACCAUGCCUUGUUCAUUUUAAAUUUUUUUAAUUGUGACGCAGAAGGUCACACUGCAGCUGACAGACAUAUGUCUCCUGCAGUAACAGGCCCUUUAGGCAGAGUUUUGUGGAAAGAUUUACAGACCGGUCAGUGGAAAGGCCCAGACCCAGUGAUUAUGUGGGGCAGAGGUCAUGCUUGUAUUUUUCCAGAAGGUGCUUUUCGUCCUAUCUGGGUGCUAUCAGACAUGGAAGAGAUAGAACCCAGAUUCAAGCGACUGAAGAUCAACCCAGAGAAGCCCCCAUUCAAAAGGAAGAGAUAUCGAAGAAGGAUGAAGAAAAAUCAGACUGACCCAGCUGAAAGGCUGAUUUCAUGGGAAGAUGUGAAGAAGCUAACAACCCAGGCCUCCCGAAUAAUUCGACUCCUAGGAAAAAACAGGACCCCAGUCUUGAUGGUAGCGAUAGUAAUUGCCCUGCUGGGCUGUCAGGAUGGUGAGUCUUCGGAGCAAAAGUGCAGAGGCUCGAGAGAGUAAAUCAUUGCCUGAAUUUUACAAGAAAAAAGGAGGGAUGUGUGGGAAUCCGUUCUCGCACUGAUUGAGCUAUCUUCCUGGCUGGUGUGAGGCGCUCAGAUAAGCAAGCUGUGUUAGACUGUGGGAAGCCAUUCUCGCACGUGACUGGGUGACUCCCCGUUUGGGUCUGAGGCGCUCUGGCUAACUGUGUCGGAGCUUUCCCGGCCCUCUCCUGAUGAGAGAGCCUGUCCAUGUGGGGGUGUGACUGACCACUGACCCUGAGGCCACUCACUGACUCUGACCUUGGAAUGCUGCCCCCCUCGACCUUCAUUGGAUGGAAUUUUCCCCUGAAUUUUUUGUUCCCCAAUAAAAGCUCACUUUCUGGCGUGCUUUCUCUCUUGCUGGUCUGUUGUGUAAACCUUGCUACCCUGUCAGGUGGCUAGAGGCGAGAGCUGGGAGAAGCCGUCUCUGAGCUGGGCAAGAAAAAGGUAA
Non-coding RNA from Ictidomys tridecemlineatus (thirteen-lined ground squirrel), 5745 nucleotides. The record is from RefSeq and is a predicted model, not a curated record. Lineage: Eukaryota; Metazoa; Chordata; Mammalia; Rodentia; Sciuridae.